AAGUGGAGAAGGGUUCCAUGUGAACAGCAGUUGAACAUGGGUCAGUCGGUCCUAAGGGAGGGCGAACGCCGUUCAGAAGGGCGGGGCGAUGGCCUCCGUCGCCCCCGGCCGAUCGAAAGGGAGUCGGGUUCAGAUCCCCGAACCCGGAGUGGCGGAGAUAGGCGCCGCGAGGCGUCCAGUGCGGUAACGCAAACGAACCCGGAGACGCCGGCGGGGGCCCCGGGAAGAGUUCUCUUUUCUUUGUGAAGGGCAGGGCGCCCUGGAAUGGGUUCACCCCGAGAUAGGGGCCCGUGCCCUGGAAAGCGCCGCGGUUCUGGCGGCGUCCGGUGAGCUCUCGCUGGCCCUUGAAAAUCCGGGGGAGAGGGUGUAAAUCUCGCGCCGGGCCGUACCCAUAUCCGCAGCAGGUCUCCAAGGUGAACAGCCUCUGGCAUGUUGGAACAAUGUAGGUAAGGGAAGUCGGCAAGUCAGAUCCGUAACUUCGGGAUAAGGAUUGGCUCU
This 498-nucleotide ribosomal RNA is filed under the name Channa punctata (spotted snakehead). RNAcentral's name for it is "eukaryotic LSU rRNA". It matches the Rfam family "Eukaryotic large subunit ribosomal RNA", at positions 1494 to 1955 of the family's 3401-position model. Lineage: Eukaryota; Metazoa; Chordata; Actinopteri; Anabantiformes; Channidae. The record is from RNAcentral.